Molecule: unclassified non-coding RNA, 385 nt
Filed under: Hevea brasiliensis (rubber tree)
Lineage: Eukaryota; Viridiplantae; Streptophyta; Magnoliopsida; Malpighiales; Euphorbiaceae
Source: RNAcentral
CCUAGAUUGUGUUCCAUGUUUUAUUAUGACAUCCUCUUCAUUUUCUAACAUUUGGAAAAGCAAAUCACGAAUUUUGCCUCCGUCUUUACGAUAUCGAUUUCCCAUAAAAAACAAGAGCGUUUUCCGAUCCUUAACGCCAAUAUCCCCAUUGUAAGUAUUGAUUCUAUGAGAGUAAGGUAUGAUCACAUCCUUUACCAGUGAACCCUGGUCGGGUCUAACCCGUCCAAAAUCCGANNNNAUAACAGAAUUGCGUUCUUGACCCGGUAUAGGACCCGGUAUAACGCAUUUGGAUCUCCCGCUAUGAUUACGUGGUCUCUCCCACCAUUCCUUCUCCAGUGCUCUUGCUGCUCCAGCCACUCCACCAACUGCUCCUGCAUAUGCUCGU